UUUUUGUUCUCAUGUUAAUUAGGUCGAAGGUGUUAUUAUUCUACUGACAAUAAAAUAUAUAGAAAAUUUCAUAAAAGUCUACUUUUUAACAUUUGUUCCUUCAUAAGUCCACCUUAAUCUUUUUACCCAUAUAAGUCCACUUUAAGGGUCAGAUUCGUCAUCUUUCUUUCAUUUCAUACCUAAAAUACCCUCCCAAUCACUCCCUACAAAAAAAAACGGCNNNNNNNNNNNNNNNNNNNNCUCUCUCUCUCUCUCUCUCUCUCUCUCUCUCUCUCUCUCUCUCUCUCUCUCUCUCUCUCUCUCUCUCUCUCUCUCUCUCUCUCUCUCUCUCUCUCCGUUGAUAUCUCUCUCUCUCCGGCGUGAGGGCCUCCGGAAAUUGACUAGAGCCCUAAAUCCCUCACUGGAAAUCUAAGCCUUAGGGCCUCCGCUGCCUUAUACAGCCUCCACGUCGUAUCCUUCAUCCUCGGCACAUCGUCGCCGCUAAUAGCAACGCCGCCGCCUCCGUGUCCUCGAUCUCAUCGAAGUCUGGAGCCGACCCGAAUGUCGAUGAGCCGUAAUAGAUCGAUCUCAGAUCUUCAAUUCUGAACAACGAGACCUCUACCUCGUCCGAUCCUCCGAUCAUCUCAUCGUCAUCGCCGACAGUACCUUCUCCGAUCGGCCUCGGCACGUCGACUGUCAUCGUCGUCUUCGUCUGCGCAACUUCCUGUAUGAGUUCAAGAUGGUGACAACGAAGGUGAUUCGUCGGUGAGGUGUCCGGCGGACUGACAAGAACACCGGCCGAUCCAAGGGCUAUGGUUUUGUGAGUAUUUUGAUUCGUUUCUAUUCUAGUUCAAUCUUGAUCACGCAUCACUGACUGCUAAUUUAGUUGUGGAGUUUGAUGAAUCAAUAGACGUAUGAGUUUUUGAAUGGAGUGUUUUGUGUUUCUGUUGAGGAUUUUGGUGACUUUCAACGAGCUAAAGGCUGCUGCCAUGGCAUGUGCUGAUCUGAUGGCCGCCAGAAGACUUUAAGUUGGCUUCAGGUGGUGGUAAUAGUUUUUGUAGAUGGUAGUAGUAGCUUUUGUGGCUGGUGGUAAUAUUUUUUGUGUUUGUCACCUCACAAUAGUAGCUUUUGUAGGCGGUGGUAGUAGCUUUUAUGGCUGGUGGUAGUAGUUUUUGUGUUCGUCAGAAACCUCACAGUAGUAGCUUUUGUAGGCGAUGGUAGUAGCUUUUGUAGCUUGUGGUAGUAGCUUUUGUGGUUGGUGGUAGCAGUUUGUGGUAGUAGCUUUUGUGUUCAUUGGAAACCUCACAGUAGUAGCUUUUGUAGGUGGUGGUAGUAGCUUUUGUAGCUGGUGGUAGUAGCUUUUGUGGUUGGUAGUAGUAAUUUUUGUCAUCGUUGGAGGCCGGUCGAAAACCUCACCGGAGGUCAGCCGGAAACCUCACCGGAGGUCGGUCGGAGACUUUUCCGAGAUGAGAGUGGUUGUUGACUUUUUAUACUAGUGGCAUUCUUGUAAAUACAAGGGAGAGAAUCUAAUUUUUUUUGUUGGAUGACAGUCUGUAAUUUUGUUCAACUUCUAUACCUAAUAUAAAACCCUAUUUAGGCUUACGUGGACUUAUGUGAAUAAAAAUGUUUGGGUGGACUUAUAUGAAAUAAAAUGUCUAAAAGUAGACUUCUAUGUAAUUGGCCAUAAAAUAUAACAAAUAAGAACAAUUAUCGAGGGAUAUAUCUAUUUAGUAUAUAUAUAUAUAUAUAUACGCCCCUUCAUUCAUAUUCUAUGUAUUUGACAUUGGUUUAGUCAUUCUCUCAGUAUACUUUCUAUAUUCGCAGGGGCGGAACUACGUUUUGUCAUAAAGUGGUCCAGACCCCCCCUCAUCAUCUAUCUCAACAUAAAUCACUAUAUAAACCUCACACUAUUGUAGUAAUUUAGUGUUAAUUCAUUCAUGAAAUCCCCCCUAAUCAAUGACAAUGACAACUAAGGAACAUAAAAAAAGAGAGAUUAACAGCCAAUUACACCUAAUUUAUUAAAGGAAAUACGAAAAUGUUGCUUAAAUUUACAAGAUUUUGCAAUUAAUUAUAUUGAUGUAUAGCUUAUUCAAUUGUUUUAUUUUAUAAAAUUUGAUAAAGUAUGUUUGGCUUGUUACAUUCAACAUUAUUAUUUUUUAUACUAUCAUGUUCUAUAUCUCGGCCCCCCUAAGGUUCUAAUCCUGGCUCCGCCUCUGUAUAUUCAAAGAAAAAUUCCCC
Molecule: long non-coding RNA, 2217 nt
Filed under: Fragaria vesca (wild strawberry)
Lineage: Eukaryota; Viridiplantae; Streptophyta; Magnoliopsida; Rosales; Rosaceae
Description: long non-coding RNA (FVES_LNC003508)
Source: RNAcentral